RNAcentral lists this long non-coding RNA (752 nucleotides) under Ananas comosus (pineapple). Its description in RNAcentral is "long non-coding RNA (ACOM_LNC005813)". Lineage: Eukaryota; Viridiplantae; Streptophyta; Magnoliopsida; Poales; Bromeliaceae. The record is from RNAcentral.
UCAAAUUGAUUUUUAAAUUCAAUUUUAUAAAGAUUUGUUACUUAUCAAAUUAGUACUAUCUAAUUUGGUAAGUAACAAAAUUAAACAAGAAAACAUAUAUUUAUGUAGGGUUGAUCAAAUUUGGUAAUUAGCUUUUAUUUGUUUUCCUAUAUUACCCUUACGAAUGGUAACCUGUUGAGCAGGUACCACUAUAUAAAAGACAAUCUCGCCCUUGAAAUAUGAAGGACUAAAUUUAAUUUACCUGGUGUAUUGAAGCAUUACUCUAGGGGCGUGUUUGGUUCGAAGUCGGAAUCGAAAUCGGAAACGGAAUGGGAAUAAGCUGGAAUCGGAAUCGGAAUGACUCAUUAUCUCAUUCUGUUUGGUUCACCAUCUGAAUCGGAAUCAAAAUGAACCAUUCCUAUUGUCGGUGUUUGGUUCAGGUAGUUAUCAGAAACGGAAUCAAAUUAAUAUACCAAUUUUACCCUUAUAAUACAUUUUAAUUAUUUUUAACUAUUUUGAAUACUCUAUUUAAAAUAUAAAUGAGCAACUUAAAAAAUAAUGAAUAAAAAGUAAAAGAAAAUUAUAUUUUAUAUUAUUUAAUAUGAAAAUAAAUUAUUUAUUAUUAUUUUUAUUGUAAUAAUUACAUGGUAAUAUAUAAAUAAUAAAAUUUUAUAUAAUUUUAAUAAAUAGAAUAGUUAUCAAAACAUAAUCAUUUCCACAAAGAAAAAAAGUAAAAGAGAACUCAUAUUUUCAAGAUCAAUAUAUAGCAAACU